This 264-nucleotide ribosomal RNA is filed under the name uncultured Glomeromycotina. RNAcentral's name for it is "partial 18S ribosomal RNA". It matches the Rfam family "Eukaryotic small subunit ribosomal RNA", at positions 619 to 888 of the family's 1831-position model. Lineage: Eukaryota; Fungi; Glomeromycota. The record is from RNAcentral.
UUAAAAAGCUCGUAGUUGAAUUUCGGGAUUAGUACGUUGGUCGUGCCUUCGGUACGUACUGGUGUUACUGAUUCCUACCUUCUGACGAACCAUCAUGUCAUUAAUUUGGUGUGGUGGGGAAUCAGGACUGUUACUUUGAAAAAAUUAGAGUGUUUAAAGCAGGCUCGCGCUUGAAUACAUUAGCAUGGAAUAAUGAAAUAGGACGUUGAUCCUAUUUUGUUGGUUUCUAGGAUUGACGUAAUGAUUAAUAGGGAUAGUUGGGGG